This 247-nucleotide ribosomal RNA is filed under the name Entoloma sp. 6 CRJH-2017. RNAcentral describes it as "partial 28S ribosomal RNA". It matches the Rfam family "Eukaryotic large subunit ribosomal RNA", at positions 104 to 344 of the family's 3401-position model. Lineage: Eukaryota; Fungi; Basidiomycota; Agaricomycetes; Agaricales; Entolomataceae. The record is from RNAcentral.
AAAGCUCAAAUUUAAAAUCUGGUGGUCUUUGGCUACCCGAGUUGUAAUCUAGAGAAGCACCAUCCGCGCUGGACCGUGUAUAAGUCUCCUGGAAUGGAGCGUCAUAGAGGGUGAGAAUCCCGUCUUUGACACGGAUUACCAGGGCUUUGUGAUAUGCUCUCAAAGAGUCGAGUUGUUUGGGAAUGCAGCUCUAAAUGGGUGGUAAGUUCCAUCUAAAGCUAAAUAUUGGCGAGAGACCGAUAGCGAA